RNAcentral lists this ribosomal RNA (468 nucleotides) under uncultured bacterium. RNAcentral's name for it is "partial 16S ribosomal RNA". It matches the Rfam family "Bacterial small subunit ribosomal RNA", at positions 28 to 507 of the family's 1533-position model. The record is from RNAcentral.
GAUGAACGCUGGCGGCGUGCUUAACACAUGCAAGUCGAACGGUGAAGGUGGAGCUUGCUCUGCUGGAUCAGUGGCGAACGGGUGAGUAACACGUGAGCAAUCUGCCCCUGACUCUGGGAUAAGCGCUGGAAACGGCGUCUAAUACUGGAUACGAGCUGCGAAGGCAUCUUCAGCAGCUGGAAAGAAUUUCGGUCAGGGAUGAGCUCGCGGCCUAUCAGCUUGUUGGUGAGGUAAUGGCUCACCAAGGCGUCGACGGGUAGCCGGCCUGAGAGGGUGACCGGCCACACUGGGACUGAGACACGGCCCAGACUCCUACGGGAGGCAGCAGUGGGGAAUAUUGCACAAUGGGCGAAAGCCUGAUGCAGCAACGCCGCGUGAGGGACGACGGCCUUCGGGUUGUAAACCUCUUUUAGCAGGGAAGAAGCGAAAGUGACGGUACCUGCAGAAAAAGCGCCGGCUAACUACGUG